RNAcentral lists this long non-coding RNA (1517 nucleotides) under Helianthus annuus (common sunflower). RNAcentral describes it as "hypothetical non coding rna". Lineage: Eukaryota; Viridiplantae; Streptophyta; Magnoliopsida; Asterales; Asteraceae. The record is from RNAcentral.
UUUCCUUCUUUCUUUUCUCUAUACGUAGGUGUUCUAACCAAUAAUCACCGAUGCGAUGCUCUGUCCGAUAGAUUCAUGAACCAUCCAACGAAUACCGAAGUGCUGUGCUUUGUGAAUUUCGUUAAAUGGAAUCCAAAGUACUAUACCUUGUGAGUUCAUUAAAUGGAUACCAAAGUACUGUCUGAAUAAGACUAUACUUUGUGAAAUUCGUUAAGGUUCGAAUCUCGUGACUACCGUUAAGGUUUGAUUUGGGUUUUACACAAAUACGUAUUCCAUUCUGUUAAACUAUAUGUUUAACUACCGAAAAUACUUCCCACUACACACUCACAAUCAAACAAACUAUUAAAUCAUCAGAAGAUCCAGAAUAAUAAAGUGCAUGAUUAAUUAUCGGAAGAAGUAGAAUCAAGAAGUUUGUUAACUCAAUCCUGCAUGCUGAUUUGUAACACAAUGUGAAAGCCAAUUAGAAGCCAGCUGGACAGCACUGAAGGCUUGGAAAAGUGGCUAUAAAAGUUACCUAAAUAAAAGAAAGCGUUUAUUUCAAUAAAGUGAGAUUUAUCCCUGUAAAUCAGUUUGUAAUAAAAACUUGGGUUUUACCCAUGUGUUUAAUAUUAUAAAAUAUGGUGGUUUACGCUGAUUUAAUAUUUCCUAACUACGGUCCUGAUGAAAAUUUCCGCUGCCAAAUAAGUAAUUAACAUGAUACCACCGAAACUGGCUCACGGCCGCCCGUUCCCGGGAACUAGGGAUCGGGGGCUGUGACAACUGCAAGAUACAAUCUUAGAGGAAGCUCAUAAGUCUAAGUAUUCCAUUCACCCUGGCAGUGACAAGAUGUAUAAGGAUUUAAGGAGAGAUUAUUGGUGGCCAGGAAUGAAGCGAUCUGUUGCCCAUUAUGUGGAAAAGUGCCUUACAUGCCUUAAGGUGAAGGCAGAACAUCAAAAACCCUCUGGAUACUUGCAACAACCAGAGAUUCCAGAAUGGAAAUGGGAGAAAAUCACCAUGGAUUUUAUCACGAAGCUCCCAAGGUCAAGUCACAGUUAUGAUACUAUUUGGGUAAUAGUUGACAGACUGACCAAGUCUGCACACUUCGUGCCAAUUCGUGAGGACUAUAAAAUGAACAAGCUAGCUCAAAUUUACAUCAAAGAAAUAGUCUCACGACAUGGGGUGCCUGUAUCGAUCUUAUCAGACAGAGAUAGUCGUUUCACAUCUAAAUUCUGGCAAAGUUUCCAACAAGAGUUGGGAACCAAGCUUAAUCUAAGCACUGCAUAUCAUCCUCAGACGGAUGGGCAGAGUGAACGGACUAUUCAGACAUUAGAAGAUAUGCUUCGGGCUUGUGAAAUUGAUUUUGGUGGAAGUUGGGACACUCAUCUACCACUCAUCGAAUUCGCCUACAAUAAUAGCUAUCACGCCAGCAUCAAAGCUGCACCUUAUGAAGCUUUAUACGGAAGAAGGUGCCGAACUCCUAUCUGUUGGACGGAAGUAGGGGAAAGUCAACUAUCAGGACCAGAAAUCAUUGUGGAGAC